GGUCAAUUAGCUCAGUCGGUUAGAGCGCCGCCCUGAUAAGGCGGAGGUCCGGGGUUCAAUCCCCUGAUUGGCCA
This 74-nucleotide transfer RNA is filed under the name Arthrobacter caoxuetaonis. RNAcentral describes it as "Arthrobacter sp. zg-Y453 tRNA-Ile". It matches the Rfam family "tRNA". From Rfam's summary of the family: Transfer RNA (tRNA) molecules are approximately 80 nucleotides in length. Their secondary structure includes four short double-helical elements and three loops (D, anti-codon, and T loops). Lineage: Bacteria; Bacillati; Actinomycetota; Actinomycetes; Micrococcales; Micrococcaceae. The record is from RNAcentral.